Molecule: transfer RNA, 74 nt
Filed under: bacterium
Lineage: Bacteria
Description: tRNA-Trp
Rfam family: tRNA
About the family: Transfer RNA (tRNA) molecules are approximately 80 nucleotides in length.
Source: RNAcentral
AGGGCGCUAGCUCUAAUUGGUAGAGCGGCGGAUUCCAAAUCCGUAGGUUCUCGGUUCGAGCCCGAGGCGCCCUG